AGAGUUUGAUCAUGGCUCAGGACGAACGCUGGCGGCGUGCUUAACACAUGCAAGUCGAACGGAAAGGCCCUUCGGGGUACUCGAGUGGCGAACGGGUGAGUAACACGUGGGUGAUCUGCCCUGCACUUUGGGAUAAGCCUGGGAAACUGGGUCUAAUACCGAAUAGGACCACGCGCUUCAUGGUGUGUGGUGGAAAGCUUUUGCGGUGUGGGAUGGGCCCGCGGCCUAACAGCUUGUUGGUGGGGUAAUGGCCUACCAAGGCGACGACGGGUAGCCGGCCUGAGAGGGUGACCGGCCACACUGGGACUGAGAUACGGCCCAGACUCCUACGGGAGGCAGCAGUGGGGAAUAUUGCACAAUGGGCGCAAGCCUGAUGCAGCGACGCCGCGUGAGGGAUGACGGCCUUCGGGUUGUAAACCUCUUUCAAUAGGGACGAAGCGCAAGUGACGGUACCUGGAGAAGAAGCACCGGCCAACUACGUGCCAGCAGCCGCGGUAAUACGUAGGGUGCGAGCGUUGUCCGGAAUUACUGGGCGUAAAGAGCUCGUAGGUGGUUUGUCGCGUUGUUCGUGAAAACUCACAGCUUAACUGUGGGCGUGCGGGCGAUACGGGCAGACUAGAGUACUGCAGGGGAGACUGGAAUUCCUGGUGUAGCGGUGGAAUGCGCAGAUAUCAGGAGGAACACCGGUGGCGAAGGCGGGUCUCUGGGCAGUAACUGACGCUGAGGAGCGAAAGCGUGGGUAGCGAACAGGAUUAGAUACCCCGGUAGUCCAA
This 773-nucleotide ribosomal RNA is filed under the name uncultured bacterium. RNAcentral's name for it is "bacterial SSU rRNA". It matches the Rfam family "Bacterial small subunit ribosomal RNA", at positions 8 to 798 of the family's 1533-position model. The record is from RNAcentral.